ACGACCUUACUUGAACAGGAUCUGUUCUAUAGGCUCGUACCGCUGCAUCCUUUACCAAUAAGGAGGCAAGCACUUCAGUCUGGUUGAUGUACUCUGACCUCUGGGCCAGAGCGUGAUUAACGGCUAGGAUUGCUCUUGAUGGAUCAAUCCGACGGCUGUAGAUGAUCGUUCCUGUCUGGCUCUGGCUUGCACAGGGUGGCCCAGAGGUUGUCUGACAGACU
Molecule: non-coding RNA, 221 nt
Organism: Triticum aestivum (bread wheat)
Lineage: Eukaryota; Viridiplantae; Streptophyta; Magnoliopsida; Poales; Poaceae
Source: Rfam